AUUCCAGCUCCAAUAGCGUAUAUUAAAGUUGUUGCAGUUAAAAAGCUCGUAGUUGGAUCUCAGGGUGAGCUCAGUUGGUCGGCCUAAUUGGUCAGAACUGGCUGACUCUCCCUUGUUUCUGAAUCCCGGUCGGAGUUAAUUCUUCGUUCGUGGACUUCAGAUCGUUUACCUUGAAAAAAUUAGAGUGUUCAAAGCGGGCGUUUGCUUGAAUACAUUAGCAUGGAAUAAUGGAAUAGGACCCUGGUUCUAUUUUGUUGGUUUUGAGGACCAGAGUAAUGAUUAAUAGGGAUAGUUGGGGGCAUUCAUAUUUAAUUGUCAGAGGUGUAAUUCUUGGAUUUAUGAAAGAUGAACUUCUGCGAAAGCAUUUGCCAAGGAUGUUUUCAUCA
RNAcentral lists this ribosomal RNA (386 nucleotides) under Telonemia sp. Its description in RNAcentral is "partial small subunit ribosomal RNA". It matches the Rfam family "Eukaryotic small subunit ribosomal RNA", at positions 582 to 975 of the family's 1831-position model. Lineage: Eukaryota; Telonemia. The record is from RNAcentral.